RNAcentral lists this long non-coding RNA (234 nucleotides) under Lathyrus oleraceus (garden pea). RNAcentral's name for it is "Pisum sativum (pea) long non-coding RNA (PSAT_LNC024092)". The record is from RNAcentral. Lineage: Eukaryota; Viridiplantae; Streptophyta; Magnoliopsida; Fabales; Fabaceae.
AACCCGGACCAUCUUUUUCGGCAAAUACGCAACCGAAUCCAAAAGAGCAUUGUAAAGCGAUAACGACGAGAAGUGGGAGGGAGUUGAUUAGUGAGAGUAAAAAAAAAGAGGAUGAGAAAAAAGAUGAGGAGAAAAAAAUAGAGGAUAGCAUUGAUGGUGAAGUUGGGGAGUGGAGUGAGGAAGAAGUUGAAAAGGAUGAAAAAAAUGGUGAAGUAGAAAAUAAAGAAAGUGUGG